UACGGAGGGUGCAAGCGUUAAUCGGAAUUACUGGGCGUAAAGCGUGCGCAGGCGGUUUGUUAAGUCCGUUGUGAAAGCCCCGAGCUCAACUUGGGAAUUGCAGUGGAUACUGGCAGGCUGGAGUACGGUAGAGGAAGGUGGAAUUCCCGGUGUAGCAGUGAAAUGCGUAGAUAUCGGGAGGAACACCAGUGGCGAAGGCGGCCUUCUGGACCAGUACUGACGCUCAUGUGCGAAAGCGUGGGGAGCAAACAGG
This 253-nucleotide ribosomal RNA is filed under the name uncultured bacterium. RNAcentral's name for it is "partial 16S ribosomal RNA". It matches the Rfam family "Bacterial small subunit ribosomal RNA", at positions 524 to 776 of the family's 1533-position model. The record is from RNAcentral.